UGGGAGCAUCCGGGGGAGGGCU
RNAcentral lists this unclassified non-coding RNA (22 nucleotides) under Mus musculus (house mouse). RNAcentral describes it as "oocyte_clustered_small_RNA2359". The record is from RNAcentral. Lineage: Eukaryota; Metazoa; Chordata; Mammalia; Rodentia; Muridae.